This 807-nucleotide long non-coding RNA is filed under the name Ananas comosus (pineapple). RNAcentral's name for it is "long non-coding RNA (ACOM_LNC040958)". Lineage: Eukaryota; Viridiplantae; Streptophyta; Magnoliopsida; Poales; Bromeliaceae. The record is from RNAcentral.
AAUUAAAAUAUCGCUUGACUAACUAAAAUGAAAUAAAUUAAAAAACUAAACAGUAAUAUUAAAAUAUUAAAUAAUUUUAAAUAAUUAAUUCAGAAUAAUCUAUAAUCCAGAUAAGAAUCCAUAAUUCAGAUAAAUUUAGCAUAUUUUUACCUCAUAAAAAUUCACACCUCCUUUUUUUAUGUACAAAAAUAGAGGCACAUUACUAAAAUAAUAUUUUUUACUACUUUUUUAAGAAAAGCUAUCUCAUUGUAAAUAAAGAAAUAGGAAAUUUAAAGUGCUUUUUGUGGUGCUUAUAUUUUUCUAACUUUUUGUUUCAGAAACGCGUAUAUAUACUUCAAAACUCUUUGUUUCAAUCCUUUUCGCCAAUAAAUACAAUUCAAAAUGUUAAAUUCAAACUCAAAAAAGAAAAAAAACUAAGACGGUGAUAAAAUCAAAUGAGAGCACGGCGAUCGAUUAAAAAAAACCGUUACAAAAGAUUAUACAUCCGAAGAACUCUACGAUACGAUGCAGCCAUAAUUAACGCCCACAAUACCUCGGUAAAUUACGGGAAUGCCACUCCUCGUCGUCGUCCUCCUCGUCGUUCGCUUACCAGCCAUGGAUGAUCUCGGAGCACUUCUCCUUGAUCCACCGAAAGCCCCUGCGGAACGUCGCCUUCACCCUCCCCUCCGCCGCGUACGCCUUGUAGCUCGCCACGCGCCUCCGCCGCCUCAUCUCGGGGUCGCCGAAGCACCACGCCCCCGCGCCCGCCGCCGCCGCCGCCGCCGCCGACGACGACGACGAAGACGGCGGCGGCUGCGGGAGCGCUNN